CGCAUCAGCACGCUGACAAUUAUUACCACCACCAUUACCACAGGUAACGGUGCGGGCUGACGCGUACAGGAAACACAGAAAAAAGCCCGCACCUGAACAGUGCGGGCUUUUUUUU
This 115-nucleotide small RNA is filed under the name Pseudescherichia vulneris (CDC Enteric Group 1). RNAcentral also lists the same sequence under 1 other name. The record is from RNAcentral. Lineage: Bacteria; Pseudomonadati; Pseudomonadota; Gammaproteobacteria; Enterobacterales; Enterobacteriaceae.